UACAGAGGUCUCGAGCGUUGUUCGGAUUCAUUGGGCGUAAAGGGUGCGUAGGUGGCGCAGUAAGUCGGGUGUGAAAUCCUGAGGCUUAACCUCAGAACUGCAUUCGAUACUGCUGUGCUUGAGGACUGGAGAGGAGACUGGAAUUCAUGGUGUAGCGGUGAAAUGCGUAGAGAUCGUGAGGAAGACCAGUGGCGAAGGCGGGUCUCUGGGCUGUUCCUGACGCUGAGGCGCGAAAGCCAGGGGAGCAAUCGGG
RNAcentral lists this ribosomal RNA (253 nucleotides) under uncultured bacterium. Its description in RNAcentral is "partial 16S ribosomal RNA". It matches the Rfam family "Bacterial small subunit ribosomal RNA", at positions 524 to 776 of the family's 1533-position model. The record is from RNAcentral.